Paramisgurnus dabryanus is the source of this 295-nucleotide long non-coding RNA. RefSeq lists it as uncharacterized. Lineage: Eukaryota; Metazoa; Chordata; Actinopteri; Cypriniformes; Cobitidae. The record is from RefSeq and is a predicted model, not a curated record.
CGUCAAUCAAUCAUAACGGACACGGAUUUCAAAGGCAGCAGGAUGAGAGUUAACAAUGUAUCAGGUCUGUUUUCAUCAAGACAUGAAGACUCUGGAGUGGGACAAGAGAAGGAUGGUGGGGUGUUAUUCCAAUAGACACAUUAAGUGAAAGCUGAUAAAUACAGAGGGCUGGACAGUGGUUUCAUUGAUUAAGUAAAGAGGUGGGACAAGGAUGCUGACAGGACAGGAGGAGGUGACAUUCAGACAUUCAGCGCAGACAUUUUCAUCCAAAGCAACUUGAGGAAGAAAACAAGCA